This 253-nucleotide ribosomal RNA is filed under the name uncultured prokaryote. Its description in RNAcentral is "partial 16S ribosomal RNA". It matches the Rfam family "Bacterial small subunit ribosomal RNA", at positions 525 to 777 of the family's 1533-position model. The record is from RNAcentral.
ACGUAGGUGGCGAGCGUUAUCCGGAUUUACUGGGCGUAAAGAGUGUGUAGGCGGUGUUCUAAGUCUGUCGUGAAAUCUCCCGGCUUAACCGGGAGGGUGCGGCGGAAACUGGAAUGCUUGAGGGUGGGAGAGGUAAGCGGAAUUCCUGGUGUAGCGGUGAAAUGCGUAGAUAUCAGGAGGAACACCUGUGGUGUAGACAGCUUACUGGUCCACUUCUGACGCUGAGACACGAAAGCGUGGGUAGCAAACAGGA